This 68-nucleotide transfer RNA is filed under the name Marmota monax (woodchuck). RNAcentral describes it as "tRNA.Val". The record is from RNAcentral. Lineage: Eukaryota; Metazoa; Chordata; Mammalia; Rodentia; Sciuridae.
GGAUUGUGGCUCAGUGGUAGAGCACUUACCUAACAUGCUUGAGGCACUGAGUUUGAUCCUCAGUACCA